GGGCGUUUAGCGCAGUGGUAGCGCGUAUGCUUUGCAAGAGCAACAACGUCUCAUAGACGCGGUUAUCGUGUGUAUAAGGUCCAGGGUUCAAUCCCCUGAACGUCCA
RNAcentral lists this transfer RNA (106 nucleotides) under Hypsizygus marmoreus. It matches the Rfam family "tRNA". Rfam says of the family: Transfer RNA (tRNA) molecules are approximately 80 nucleotides in length. Their secondary structure includes four short double-helical elements and three loops (D, anti-codon, and T loops). Further hydrogen bonds mediate the characteristic L-shaped molecular structure. tRNAs have two regions of fundamental functional importance: the anti-codon, which is responsible for specific mRNA codon recognition, and the 3' end, to which the tRNAs corresponding amino acid is attached (by aminoacyl-tRNA synthetases). tRNAs cope with the degeneracy of the genetic code in two manners: having more than one tRNA (with a specific anti-codon) for a particular amino acid; and 'wobble' base-pairing, i.e. permitting non-standard base-pairing at the 3rd anti-codon position. Lineage: Eukaryota; Fungi; Basidiomycota; Agaricomycetes; Agaricales; Lyophyllaceae. The record is from Rfam by way of RNAcentral.